Molecule: ribosomal RNA, 377 nt
Filed under: Cocconeis placentula
Lineage: Eukaryota; Bacillariophyta; Bacillariophyceae; Cocconeidales; Cocconeidaceae
Also listed under: 1 other name
Description: SSU rRNA
Rfam family: Eukaryotic small subunit ribosomal RNA
Source: RNAcentral
AUUCCAGCUCCAAUAGCGUAUAUUAAAGUUGUUGCAGUUAAAAAGCUCGUAGUUGGAUUUGUGGAUGCUCACUUGGUCCUCUUGAGGCGCCAGUGUGGGGAUCCAUCCUUGGGUGGAUGCUGUGUGGCAUUCGGUUGUCGCGCAGGUGAUGCCCAUCGUUUACUGUGAAAAAAUCAGCGCGUUCAAAGCAGGCUUAUGCCGUUGAAUGUAUUAGCAUGGAAUAAUGAGAUAGGACCUCGGUACUAUUUUGUUGGUUUGCGCACUGGGGUAAUGAUUAAUAGGGACAGUUGGGGGUAUUCGUAUUGCAUUGUCAGAGGUGAAAUUCUUGGAUUUCUGCAAGACGAACUACUGCGAAAGCAUUUACCAAGGAUGUUUUC